GGGUUGUGAGGUUAAGCGACUAAGCGUACACGGUGGAUGCCCUGGCAGUCAGAGGCGAUGAAGGACGUGCUAAUCUGCGAUAAGCGUCGGUAAGGUGAUAUGAACCGUUAUAACCGGCGAUUUCCGAAUGGGGAAACCCAGUGUGAUUCGUCACACUAUCAUUAACUGAAUCCAUAGGUUAAUGAGGCGAACCGGGGGAACUGAAACAUCUAAGUACCCCGAGGAAAAGAAAUCAACCGAGAUUCCCCCAGUAGCGGCGAGCGAACGGGGAGCAGCCCAGAGCCUGAAUCAGUGUGUGUGUUAGUGGAAGCGUCUGGAAAGGCGCGCGAUACAGGGUGACAGCCCCGUACACAAAAAUGCACAUGCUGUGAGCUCGAUGAGUAGGGCGGGACACGUGGUAUCCUGUCUGAAUAUGGGGGGACCAUCCUCCAAGGCUAAAUACUCCUGACUGACCGAUAGUGAACCAGUACCGUGAGGGAAAGGCGAAAAGAACCCCGGCGAGGGGAGUGAAAAAGAACCUGAAACCGUGUACGUACAAGCAGUGGGAGCACGCUUAGGCGUGUGACUGCGUACCUUUUGUAUAAUGGGUCAGCGACUUAUAUUCUGUAGCAAGGUUAACCGAAUAGGGGAGCCGAAGGGAAACCGAGUCUUAACUGGGCGUUAAGUUGCAGGGUAUAGACCCGAAACCCGGUGAUCUAGCCAUGGGCAGGUUGAAGGUUGGGUAACACUAACUGGAGGACCGAACCGACUAAUGUUGAAAAAUUAGCGGAUGACUUGUGGCUGGGGGUGAAAGGCCAAUCAAACCGGGAGAUAGCUGGUUCUCCCCGAAAGCUAUUUAGGUAGCGCCUCGUGAAUUCAUCUCCGGGGGUAGAGCACUGUUUCGGCAAGGGGGUCAUCCCGACUUACCAACCCGAUGCAAACUGCGAAUACCGGAGAAUGUUAUCACGGGAGACACACGGCGGGUGCUAACGUCCGUCGUGAAGAGGGAAACAACCCAGACCGCCAGCUAAGGUCCCAAAGUCAUGGUUAAGUGGGAAACGAUGUGGGAAGGCCCAGACAGCCAGGAUGUUGGCUUAGAAGCAGCCAUCAUUUAAAGAAAGCGUAAUAGCUCACUGGUCGAGUCGGCCUGCGCGGAAGAUGUAACGGGGCUAAACCAUGCACCGAAGCUGCGGCAGCGACGCUUAUGCGUUGUUGGGUAGGGGAGCGUUCUGUAAGCCUGUGAAGGUGUACUGUGAGGUAUGCUGGAGGUAUCAGAAGUGCGAAUGCUGACAUAAGUAACGAUAAAGCGGGUGAAAAGCCCGCUCGCCGGAAGACCAAGGGUUCCUGUCCAACGUUAAUCGGGGCAGGGUGAGUCGACCCCUAAGGCGAGGCCGAAAGGCGUAGUCGAUGGGAAACAGGUUAAUAUUCCUGUACUUGGUGUUACUGCGAAGGGGGGACGGAGAAGGCUAUGUUGGCCGGGCGACGGUUGUCCCGGUUUAAGCGUGUAGGCUGGUUUUCCAGGCAAAUCCGGAAAAUCAAGGCUGAGGCGUGAUGACGAGGCACUACGGUGCUGAAGCAACAAAUGCCCUGCUUCCAGGAAAAGCCUCUAAGCAUCAGGUAACAUCAAAUCGUACCCCAAACCGACACAGGUGGUCAGGUAGAGAAUACCAAGGCGCUUGAGAGAACUCGGGUGAAGGAACUAGGCAAAAUGGUGCCGUAACUUCGGGAGAAGGCACGCUGAUAUGUAGGUGAAGUCCCUCGCGGAUGGAGCUGAAAUCAGUCGAAGAUACCAGCUGGCUGCAACUGUUUAUUAAAAACACAGCACUGUGCAAACACGAAAGUGGACGUAUACGGUGUGACGCCUGCCCGGUGCCGGAAGGUUAAUUGAUGGGGUUAGCGCAAGCGAAGCUCUUGAUCGAAGCCCCGGUAAACGGCGGCCGUAACUAUAACGGUCCUAAGGUAGCGAAAUUCCUUGUCGGGUAAGUUCCGACCUGCACGAAUGGCGUAAUGAUGGCCAGGCUGUCUCCACCCGAGACUCAGUGAAAUUGAACUCGCUGUGAAGAUGCAGUGUACCCGCGGCAAGACGGAAAGACCCCGUGAACCUUUACUAUAGCUUGACACUGAACAUUGAGCCUUGAUGUGUAGGAUAGGUGGGAGGCUUUGAAGUGUGGACGCCAGUCUGCAUGGAGCCGACCUUGAAAUACCACCCUUUAAUGUUUGAUGUUCUAACGUUGACCCGUAAUCCGGGUUGCGGACAGUGUCUGGUGGGUAGUUUGACUGGGGCGGUCUCCUCCUAAAGAGUAACGGAGGAGCACGAAGGUUGGCUAAUCCUGGUCGGACAUCAGGAGGUUAGUGCAAUGGCAUAAGCCAGCUUGACUGCGAGCGUGACGGCGCGAGCAGGUGCGAAAGCAGGUCAUAGUGAUCCGGUGGUUCUGAAUGGAAGGGCCAUCGCUCAACGGAUAAAAGGUACUCCGGGGAUAACAGGCUGAUACCGCCCAAGAGUUCAUAUCGACGGCGGUGUUUGGCACCUCGAUGUCGGCUCAUCACAUCCUGGGGCUGAAGUAGGUCCCAAGGGUAUGGCUGUUCGCCAUUUAAAGUGGUACGCGAGCUGGGUUUAGAACGUCGUGAGACAGUUCGGUCCCUAUCUGCCGUGGGCGCUGGAGAACUGAGGGGGGCUGCUCCUAGUACGAGAGGACCGGAGUGGACGCAUCACUGGUGUUCGGGUUGUCAUGCCAAUGGCACUGCCCGGUAGCUAAAUGCGGAAGAGAUAAGUGCUGAAAGCAUCUAAGCACGAAACUUGCCCCGAGAUGAGUUCUCCCUGACCCUUUAAGGGUCCUGAAGGAACGUUGAAGACGACGACGUUGAUAGGCCGGGUGUGUAAGCGCAGCGAUGCGUUGAGCUAACCGGUACUAAUGAACCGUGAGGCUUAACCUUACAACGCCGAAG
This 2925-nucleotide ribosomal RNA is filed under the name Escherichia coli. RNAcentral describes it as "partial 23S ribosomal RNA". It matches the Rfam family "Bacterial large subunit ribosomal RNA". The record is from RNAcentral. Lineage: Bacteria; Pseudomonadati; Pseudomonadota; Gammaproteobacteria; Enterobacterales; Enterobacteriaceae.